GCUCUUGGGUGCGGCAGCUUCUCCAGCGCGAGUUACGGUUUGAUGUUUUGCUCCGGUCAACCUGUAGAGAAAAGGACGGUGAUCACAGUGGUGUAAAAAUUACAUCAACGGGAACCGAAAAGGGCCUCAUCGGAGGCAAAAACUGAGGGAAGCCACGGCGGCACCGCUGGACUUCAACGGUGUUUUUCGGCCGAUUGGCCAGUGGUUUGGCUCCGAUUUGGCCAUAGGCGGAUUCAGCAUCAAAAAACGAGCCAAGGGGAGAACAUUUACCUCGUUUGGCGGUCAAAAAACCCUCUGGUGCGAUGGCGGGUGGCGGCGGCGGCCGGCUCCUCCGGCGACUGGUUCUUCUUGUCCGGCGAGGGUACUGGCGGCUAGGGUUUUGGGUCGGGUGUGGGUGAGAUUAUUUAUAACCUUUCCCUUUUAAUCUCAGCCGUCCAUCAAGAUUUAAUCUGGUGCUGUCCGAUCGCGAUUAAAAUGGGAAUAAAUCUAGGCCGUCCAUUGCGAUGCGAUCUGGGCCGUCCGUGCGUGAUUCAAUCUAGGCCAUCCGCACGCGUGAGAUCUUGGCCAUCCAUGCGCGUGAGAUCUGUGCCGUCUGCACGCGUGAGAUCUGGACCGUUCGAUCGUGUGCACGCGGAUCGCCCACAUGGCUCCGUCUCGCGUGGCCUCCCGCGUCAGCUUCCUUGUUACACGGCGUGUUCUGGUUGGUCGGGGCUGUUGACUGGGCUGCUGACGUGGCUGCUGACAUGGCACAACUUUCCUAAAUUGCAUUUUGACCCCUAGUUUCUGAUUUUCUUUUCAAAAACACCCUCAUAAUCGAAAUUUUCACCCCUUUUUC
This 835-nucleotide long non-coding RNA is filed under the name Carica papaya (papaya). Its description in RNAcentral is "long non-coding RNA (CPAP_LNC003692)". Lineage: Eukaryota; Viridiplantae; Streptophyta; Magnoliopsida; Brassicales; Caricaceae. The record is from RNAcentral.